Molecule: ribosomal RNA, 254 nt
Filed under: uncultured bacterium
Lineage: Bacteria
Description: partial 16S ribosomal RNA
Rfam family: Bacterial small subunit ribosomal RNA
Source: RNAcentral
GAUCAUGGCUCAGGAUGAAUGCUAGCGGCAGGCUUAACACAUGCAAGUCGAGGGGCAGCGGGGGAGUAGCAAUACUCCGCCGGCGACCGGCGCACGGGGUGCGUAACGCGUAUGCAACCUACCUUUAACAGGGGCAUAACACUGAGAAAUUGGUACUAAUUCCCCAUAACAUUCGAGAAGGCAUCUUCUUGGGUUAAAAACUCCGGUGGUUAAAGAUGGGCAUGCGUUGUAUUAGCUAGUUGGUGAGGUAACGG